RNAcentral lists this ribosomal RNA (2905 nucleotides) under Clostridium perfringens. RNAcentral describes it as "23S ribosomal RNA". It matches the Rfam family "Bacterial large subunit ribosomal RNA". Lineage: Bacteria; Bacillati; Bacillota; Clostridia; Eubacteriales; Clostridiaceae. The record is from RNAcentral.
GGUCAAGCUACAAAGGGCGCAUGGUGAAUGCCUUGGCAUCAGGAGCCGAUGAAGGACGUGAUAAGCUGCGAUAAGCUUCGGGUAGGCGCACAUAGCCUGAGAUCCGAAGAUCUCCGAAUGAGGAAACUCACAUGGGAAACCCCAUGUAUCAUUAAGUGAAUACAUAGCUUAAUGAAGGUAACCCAGGGAACUGAAACAUCUAAGUACCUGGAGGAAGAGAAAGAAAAAUCGAUUUUCUUAGUAGCGGCGAGCGAAAGGGAAAGAGCCCAAACCGGAAACUUGUUUCCGGGGUUGUGGACAUAGCAUGAAAGUGGAGGCUAUUGUAACUGAAGAGAACUGGAAAGUUCCACCGUAGAAGGUAAUAGUCCUGUAAGUGAAACGAGAAGACCACGAGUUAUGAUCCAGAGUACCACGAGACACGUGAAACCUUGUGGGAAGCAGGGAGGACCACCUCCCAAGGCUAAAUACUACCUGAUGACCGAUAGUGAAGCAGUACCGUGAGGGAAAGGUGAAAAGAACCCCGGGAGGGGAGUGAAAUAGAACCUGAAACCGUGUGCCUACAACCGCUCAGAGCCCCUUAUGAGGGUGAUGAGGUGCUUUUUGUAGAACGAGCCAACGAGUUACGGUAUGUAGCAAGGUUAAGUACUUAAGGUACGGAGCCGAAGGGAAACCGAGUCUGAAUAGGGCGACUAGUUGCAUGCCGUAGACCCGAAACCGGGUGACCUAUCCAUGGCCAGGUUGAAGCGAGGGUAAAACCUCGUGGAGGACCGAACCACGUUGCUGUUGAAAAAGCAUGGGAUGAGCUGUGGAUAGCGGAGAAAUUCCAAUCGAACCCGGAGAUAGCUGGUUCUCUCCGAAAUAGCUUUAGGGCUAGCGUCGAGUAUGAGUAGUGGAGGUAGAGCACUGAAUGGGCUAGGGGGCAUAGCGCUUACCGAACCUUAUCAAACUCCGAAUGCCACAUACUUUGAGCUCGGCAGUCAGACUACGAAUGAUAAGAUCCGUGGUCAAAAGGGAAACAGCCCAGAUCGUCAGCUAAGGUCCCAAAGUGUAAGUUAAGUGGGAAAGGAUGUGAGAUUUCUAAGACAACUAGGAUGUUGGCUUAGAAGCAGCCAUUCAUUAAAAGAGUGCGUAAUAGCUCACUAGUCGAGAGAUCUUGCGCCGAAAAUGUAACGGGGCUAAACUUACCACCGAAGCUACGGGCUUGAACUUAGUUCAAGCGGUAGGAGAGCGUCGUAACCGGGCUGAAGUCGUACCGUAAGGAGCGGUGGACUGGUUACGAGUGAGAAUGUUGGCAUCAGUAGCGAGAUGUGGGUGAGAAUCCCACAGGCCGAAAACCUAAGGUUUCCUCAGGAAGGUUCGUCCGCUGAGGGUUAGUCGGGACCUAAGCCGAGGCCGAAAGGCGUAGGUGAUGGACAACUGGUUGAUAUUCCAGUACCACUACCAUCGUUAUUAUCGAUGGCGUGACGCAGGAGGAUAGUGUGUGCUAGCUAUUGGAUGCUAGUCUAAGCGUUUAGGCAGUGAGAGUAGGCAAAUCCGCUCUCAUAAUGCUGAGGCGUGAUGGGGAAGGUUCUACGGAACCGAAGUACAUGAUUCCACGCUGCCAAGAAAAGCGUCUAGAGAGAGAAGUAGUGCCCGUACCGCAAACCGACACAGGUAGGUGAGGAGAGAAUCCUAAGGCCGGCGGAAGAAUUACAGUUAAGGAACUCGGCAAAUUGACCCCGUAAGUUCGCGAGAAGGGGUGCCUACGAGAGUAGGCCGCAGAGAAUAGGCCCAAGCAACUGUUUAGCAAAAACACAGGUCUCUGCUAAAGCGUAAGCUGAUGUAUAGGGGCUGACGCCUGCCCGGUGCUGGAAGGUUAAGGGGAACACUUAGCGCAAGCGAAGGUGUGAACUUAAGCCCCAGUAAACGGCGGCCGUAACUAUAACGGUCCUAAGGUAGCGAAAUUCCUUGUCAGGUAAGUUCUGACCCGCACGAAUGGCGUAAUGACUUGGGCACUGUCUCAACUGUAAAUCCGGCGAAGUUGUAGUGCGAGUGAAGAUGCUCGCUACCCGCGAUUGGACGGAAAGACCCCGUAGAGCUUUACUGUAGCUUAGCAUUGAGUUUUGGUAUUGUCUGUACAGGAUAGGUGGGAGACUAGGAAACCAGGGCGUCAGCCUUGGUGGAGUCAACCUUGGGAUACCACCCUGACAGUACUGAAAUUCUAACUGGCGGCCAUGAAUCUGGUCACAGGACAUUGUUAGGUGGGCAGUUUGACUGGGGCGGUCGCCUCCUAAAAAGUAACGGAGGCGCCCAAAGGUUCCCUCAGAACGGUCGGAAAUCGUUCGAAGAGUGCAAAGGCAGAAGGGAGCCUGACUGCGACACCCACAAGUGGAGCAGGGACGAAAGUCGGGCUUAGUGAUCCGGUGGUACCUCGUGGGAGGGCCAUCGCUCAACGGAUAAAAGCUACCUCGGGGAUAACAGGCUGAUCUCCCCCAAGAGUCCACAUCGACGGGGAGGUUUGGCACCUCGAUGUCGGCUCGUCGCAUCCUGGGGCUGAAGUAGGUCCCAAGGGUUGGGCUGUUCGCCCAUUAAAGCGGCACGCGAGCUGGGUUCAGAACGUCGUGAGACAGUUCGGUCCCUAUCCGUCGCGGGCGUAGGAAAUUUGAGAGGAGCUGUCCUUAGUACGAGAGGACCGGGAUGGACUGACCUCUGGUGUACCAGUUGUUCCGCCAGGAGCACAGCUGGGUAGCUAAGUCGGGAAUGGAUAAACGCUGAAAGCAUCUAAGCGUGAAGCCAACCUCAAGAUGAGAUUUCCCAUAGCGUAAGCUAGUAAGAUCCCUUGAAGAACACAAGGUUGAUAGGUCGGGGGUGUAAGCAUGGUAACAUGUUCAGCUGACCGAUACUAAUAGAUCGAGGGCUUGACCAA